This 136-nucleotide ribosomal RNA is filed under the name Salmonella enterica subsp. enterica serovar Kentucky. RNAcentral describes it as "partial 16S ribosomal RNA". It matches the Rfam family "Bacterial small subunit ribosomal RNA", at positions 1039 to 1177 of the family's 1533-position model. Lineage: Bacteria; Pseudomonadati; Pseudomonadota; Gammaproteobacteria; Enterobacterales; Enterobacteriaceae. The record is from RNAcentral.
UGCUGGAUGUGUCGUCAGCUCGUGUUGUGAAAUGUUGGGUUAAGUCCCGCAACGAGCGGAACCCUUAUCCUUUGUUGCCAGCGGUCCGGCCGGGAACUCAAAGGAGACUGCCAGUGAUAAACUGGAGGAAGGUGGG